AUGAACGCUGGCGGCGUGCCUCAUACAUGCCAGUCGCGCGAACAGACGAGGAGCUUGCUCCUCUGACGUUAGCGGCGGACGGGUGAGUAACACGUGGAUAACCUACCUAUAAGACUGGGAUAACUUCGGGAAACCGGAGCUAAUACCGGAUAAUAUAUUGAACCGCAUGGUUCAAUAGUGAAAGACGGUUUUGCUGUCACUUAUAGAUGGAUCCGCGCCGCAUUAGCUAGUUGGUAAGGUAACGGCUUACCAAGGCAACGAUGCGUAGCCGACCUGAGAGGGUGAUCGGCCACACUGGAACUGAGACACGGUCCAGACUCCUACGGGAGGCAGCAGUAGGGAAUCUUCCGCAAUGGGUGAAAGCCUGACGGAGCAACGCCGCGUGAGUGAUGAAGGUCUUCGGAUCGUAAAACUCUGUUAUUAGGGAAGAACAAAUGUGUAAGUAACUAUGCACGUCUUGACGGUACCUAAUCAGAAAGCCACGGCUAACUACGUG
RNAcentral lists this ribosomal RNA (496 nucleotides) under uncultured bacterium. RNAcentral describes it as "partial 16S ribosomal RNA". It matches the Rfam family "Bacterial small subunit ribosomal RNA", at positions 29 to 507 of the family's 1533-position model. The record is from RNAcentral.